GACGAACGCUGGCGGCGUGCCUAAUACAUGCAAGUCGAACGAACAGUUUAGGCCCUUGCUUCCCUGACCUUAGCCGCUGACUUGCGAGUAACUCGUUGACAACCUACCUACCUGACUGGGAUCACUGCAUGAAACCGGGACUCAUUCCCUAAUAUCUCUUGAUCUUCAUUGUUCCAUAGUUAUUGAUGGUUUUGCUCUCUCUCAUAGCUACCUCCUGGCCGCAUUAGCUAGUUGGUAAGGUAACGGCUUACCAAGGCAACGAUGAGUAGCCGACCUGAGAGGGUAAUCGGCAAAACUGGAACUGAGAAACGGUCAAGACUCCUACGGGAGGCAGCAGAAGGGAAUCUUCCGCAAUGGGGGAAAGCCGAACGGAGAAAGGCGGCGGAAGGGAUGAAGGUCUUCGGAUGGUAAAAUUCGGUUAUAAGGAAGGAAGAAAGGGGUAAGUAAAAAUGCACGUCUUGACGGUACCUAAACAGAAAGCCACGGCUAACUACGUG
RNAcentral lists this ribosomal RNA (497 nucleotides) under uncultured bacterium. RNAcentral describes it as "partial 16S ribosomal RNA". It matches the Rfam family "Bacterial small subunit ribosomal RNA", at positions 28 to 507 of the family's 1533-position model. The record is from RNAcentral.